RNAcentral lists this ribosomal RNA (252 nucleotides) under uncultured bacterium. RNAcentral describes it as "partial 16S ribosomal RNA". It matches the Rfam family "Bacterial small subunit ribosomal RNA", at positions 524 to 776 of the family's 1533-position model. The record is from RNAcentral.
CACGUAGGGGGCUAGCGUUAUCCGGAAUUACUGGGCGUAAAGGGUGCGUAGGUGGUUUCUUAAGUCAGAGGUGAAAGGCUACGGCUCAACCGUAGUAAGCCUUUGAAACUGGGGAACUUGAGUGCAGGAGAGGAGAGUGGAAUUCCUAGUGUAGCGGUGAAAUGCGUAGAUAUUAGGAGGAACACCAGUUGCGAAGGCGGCUCUCUGGACUGUAACUGACACUGAGGCACGAAAGCGUGGGGAGCAAACAGG